GCAUAUCAAUAAGCGGAGGAAAAGAAACUAACAAGGAUUCCCCUAGUAACUGCGAGUGAAGCNNNAAAAGCUCAAAUUUAAAAUCUGAGGGUCUUGCGGCCUUCCGAGUUGUAAUCUAGAGAAGUGCUAUCCGCGCUGGACCGUGUACAAGUCUCCUGGAACGGAGCGUCAUAGAGGGUGAGAAUCCCGUCUUUGACACGGACUACCAGGGAUUAUGUGAUGCGCUCUCAAAGAGUCGAGUUGUUUGGGAAUGCAGCUCUAAAUGGGUGG
RNAcentral lists this ribosomal RNA (270 nucleotides) under Tricholoma vaccinum. Its description in RNAcentral is "partial large subunit ribosomal RNA". It matches the Rfam family "Eukaryotic large subunit ribosomal RNA", at positions 38 to 299 of the family's 3401-position model. Lineage: Eukaryota; Fungi; Basidiomycota; Agaricomycetes; Agaricales; Tricholomataceae. The record is from RNAcentral.